AUUGAACGCUGGCGGCAUGCUUUACACAUGCAAGUCGAACGGCAGCGCGGGCUUCGGCCUGGCGGCGAGUGGCGAACGGGUGAGUAAUUCAUCGGAACGUGCCCAGUAGUGUGGGAUAGCCCGGCGAAAGCCGGAUUAAUACCGCAUACGACCUAAGUGUUAAAGCGGUGGACCGAAAUGCCUCGCGCAAUUGGAGCGACCGAUGGCGGAUUAGCUAGUUGGUGGGGUAAAGGCUUACCAAGGCGACGAUCCGUAGCUGGUCUGAGAGGACGACCAGCCAAACUGGGACUGGGAAACGGCCCAGACUCCUACGGGAGGCAGCAGUGGGGAAUUUUGGACAAUGGGGGAAACCCUGAUCCAGCAAUGCCGCGUGCGGGAAGAAGGCCUUCGGGUUGUAAACCGCUUUUGUUCGGGAAGAAAUCCUCUAGGCUAAUACCCCGGGGGGAUGACGGUACCGGAAGAAUAAGCACCGGCUAACUACGUG
Molecule: ribosomal RNA, 484 nt
Filed under: uncultured bacterium
Lineage: Bacteria
Description: partial 16S ribosomal RNA
Rfam family: Bacterial small subunit ribosomal RNA
Source: RNAcentral